RNAcentral lists this antisense RNA (76 nucleotides) under Citrobacter gillenii. Its description in RNAcentral is "SymR antitoxin". It matches the Rfam family "SymR antitoxin". The record is from RNAcentral. Lineage: Bacteria; Pseudomonadati; Pseudomonadota; Gammaproteobacteria; Enterobacterales; Enterobacteriaceae.
AGUCAUAAUGGCUAUUCUCUCUAAAUAGUGAUUGUGAUUAGCGAGGCGCUCGUGUUGCAGCACGGGCGUCUUGCGA